GACGAACGCUGGCGGCGUGCCUAAUACAUGCAAGUCGAACGCUUCUUUCCUCCCGAGUGCUUGCACUCAAUUGGAAAGAGGAGUGGCGGACGGGUGAGUAACACGUGGGUAACCUACCCAUCAGAGGGGGAUAACACUUGGAAACAGGUGCUAAUACCGCAUAACAGUUUAUGCCGCAUGGCAUAAGAGUGAAAGGCGCUUUCGGGUGUCGCUGAUGGAUGGACCCGCGGUGCAUUAGCUAGUUGGUGAGGUAACGGCUCACCAAGGCCACGAUGCAUAGCCGACCUGAGAGGGUGAUCGGCCACACUGGGACUGAAACACGGCCCAGACUCCUACGGGAGGCAGCAGUAGGGAAUCUUCGGCAAUGGACGAAAGUCUGACCGAGCAACGCCGCGUGAGUGAAGAAGGUUUUCGGAUCGUAAAACUCUGUUGUUAGAGAAGAACAAGGACGUUAGUAACUGAACGUCCCCUGACGGUAUCUAACCAGAAAGCCACGGCUAACUACGUG
Molecule: ribosomal RNA, 508 nt
Filed under: uncultured bacterium
Lineage: Bacteria
Description: partial 16S ribosomal RNA
Rfam family: Bacterial small subunit ribosomal RNA
Source: RNAcentral